RNAcentral lists this ribozyme (115 nucleotides) under Aedes aegypti (yellow fever mosquito). Its description in RNAcentral is "drz-agam-1 ribozyme". It matches the Rfam family "drz-agam-1 ribozyme". Lineage: Eukaryota; Metazoa; Arthropoda; Insecta; Diptera; Culicidae. The record is from Rfam by way of RNAcentral.
UGCCCAGCAACUCCUAUCCCUACCUCCUCGCGGUACUGGCCGGGGUACGAGUACCUUAGGGAAGAUCGGUUAAUCAACCCCGGUGGGAGCUUUGGUCGUAUGCUGGCAGGGUAGG